Molecule: ribosomal RNA, 370 nt
Filed under: uncultured bacterium
Lineage: Bacteria
Description: bacterial SSU rRNA
Rfam family: Bacterial small subunit ribosomal RNA
Source: RNAcentral
UACGGAGGGUGCAAGCGUUACCCGGAUUUACUGGGUGUAAAGGGCGUGUAGGCGGCUUUUCAAGUCCGAUGCUAAAGACUGAGGCUCAACCUCAGGAGUGCGUUGGAUACUGUGAGGCUAGACGGUCGGAGAGGGUAGCGGAAUUCUCGGAGUAGCGGUGAAAUGCGCAGAUACCGAGAGGAACGCCAAUAGCGAAAGCAGCUACCUGGACGAUUAGUGACGCUGAGGCGCGAAAGCGUGGGGAGCAAACCGGAUUAGAUACCCGGGUAGUCCACGCCCUAAACGAUGAGUGCUGGGUGUCCGGCGUAUGCUGGGUGCCGUAGCUAACGCGUUAAGCACUCCACCUGGGAAGUACGGUCGCAAGACUGAA